This 493-nucleotide ribosomal RNA is filed under the name uncultured bacterium. RNAcentral's name for it is "partial 16S ribosomal RNA". It matches the Rfam family "Bacterial small subunit ribosomal RNA", at positions 30 to 507 of the family's 1533-position model. The record is from RNAcentral.
CGAACGCUGGCGGCGUGCCUAAUACAUGCAAGUAGAACGCUGAAGGAGGAGCUUGCUUCUCUGGAUGAGUUGCGAACGGGUGAGUAACGCGUAGGUAACCUGCCUGGUAGCGGGGGAUAACUAUUGGAAACGAUAGCUAAUACCGCAUAAUAGUAGAUGUUGCAUGACAUUUGCUUAAAAGGUGCAAUUGCAUCACUACCAGAUGGACCUGCGUUGUAUUAGCUAGUUGGUGGGGUAACGGCUCACCAAGGCGACGAUACAUAGCCGACCUGAGAGGGUGAUCGGCCACACUGGGACUGAGACACGGCCCAGACUCCUACGGGAGGCAGCAGUAGGGAAUCUUCGGCAAUGGACGGAAGUCUGACCGAGCAACGCCGCGUGAGUGAAGAAGGUUUUCGGAUCGUAAAGCUCUGUUGUAAGAGAAGAACGAGUGUGAGAGUGGAAAGUUCACACUGUGACGGUAUCUUACCAGAAAGGGACGGCUAACUACGUG